AGAGUUUGAUCCUGGCUCAGGACGAACGCUGGCGGCGUGCCUAAUACAUGCAAGUCGAGCGAGCUUGCCUAGAUGAUUUUGGUGCUUGCACUAAAUGAAACUAGAUACAAGCGAGCGGCGGACGGGUGAGUAACACGUGGGUAACCUGCCCAAGAGACUGGGAUAACACCUGGAAACAGAUGCUAAUACCGGAUAACAACACUAGACGCAUGUCUAGAGUUUGAAAGAUGGUUCUGCUAUCACUCUUGGAUGGACCUGCGGUGCAUUAGCUAGUUGGUAAGGUAACGGCUUACCAAGGCAAUGAUGCAUAGCCGAGUUGAGAGACUGAUCGGCCACAUUGGGACUGAGACACGGCCCAAACUCCUACGGGAGGCAGCAGUAGGGAAUCUUCCACAAUGGACGAAAGUCUGAUGGAGCAACGCCGCGUGAGUGAAGAAGGGUUUCGGCUCGUAAAGCUCUGUUGGUAGUGAAGAAAGAUAGAGGUAGUAACUGGCCUUUAUUUGACGGUCAUUACUUAGAAAGUCACGGCUAACUACGUGCCAGCAGCCGCGGUAAUACGUAGGUGGCAAGCGUUGUCCGGAUUUAUUGGGCGUAAAGCGAGUGCAGGCGGUUCAAUAAGUCUGAUGUGAAAGCCUUCGGCUCAACCGGAGAAUUGCAUCAGAAACUGCUGAACUUGAGUGCAGAAGAGGAGAGUGGAACUCCAUGUGUAGCGGUGGAAUGCGUAGAUAUAUGGAAGAACACCAGUGGCGAAGGCGGCUCUCUGGUCUGCAACUGACGCUGAGGCUCGAAAGCAUGGGUAGCGAACAGGAUUAGAUACCCUGGUAGUCCAUGCCGUAAACGAUGAGUGCUAAGUGUUGGGAGGUUUCCGCCUCUCAGUGCUGCAGCUCACGCAUUAAGCACUCCGCCUGGGGA
Molecule: ribosomal RNA, 912 nt
Filed under: uncultured bacterium
Lineage: Bacteria
Description: bacterial SSU rRNA
Rfam family: Bacterial small subunit ribosomal RNA
Source: RNAcentral